RNAcentral lists this long non-coding RNA (301 nucleotides) under Homo sapiens (human). Its description in RNAcentral is "non-protein coding lnc-ABHD4-12:18". Lineage: Eukaryota; Metazoa; Chordata; Mammalia; Primates; Hominidae. The record is from RNAcentral.
AAACUAGUAUAAACAAUUUACAGUGGUAUAGACAAAAUUCAGGUAGAGGCCUUGUCCACCUAAUUUUAAUACGUUCAAAUGAAAGAGAGAAACACAGUGGAAGAUUAAGAGUCACGCUUGACACUUCCAAGAAAAGCAGUUCCUUGUUGAUCACGGCUUCCCGGGCAGCAGACACUGCUUCUUACUUCUUGUUUGUCACAGUGUGACAACUGACAGCUGGGGGAAAUUCCAGUUUGGAGCAGGGACCCAGGUUGUGGUCACCCCAGUAUCCAGAACCCUGACCCUGCCGUGUACCAGCUGA